This is a long non-coding RNA of Neopsephotus bourkii (Bourke's parrot), 2702 nucleotides long. RefSeq lists it as uncharacterized. NCBI's taxonomy places the organism in Eukaryota, Metazoa, Chordata, Aves, Psittaciformes, Psittacidae. The transcript has 3 exons. The record is from RefSeq and is a predicted model, not a curated record.
AGCAACUCUACUUUGAAGGUGAUGGCAAAUGUGCACUAUGAGAGGAAGUCGCUGUGUGGACAAGCUCUCUGGGGAUGAAGAAGUCCAAAAAAAAGAGCCGUCAUGCUGCUCCUCUUGCUGAGGGAUACUCCAUGUCAUGACCUGAGUCCAGAGAGGGUGGUACGUAUCCUGGGGUGAUAACUAGGAUUGUGGACAGUGAUUUCGGCAGGAAAUGUCACCCACACAGGCAAACAAGGGGUGUGUAGAACAGCUUAUGAAACAAAAAUCUAUAGGCUUGUCUAAUUUUAGGGAGAAAGACAGAGAACUGAUGCCAAGGAAACAUAUAAAUCACUUUAUAUAAUUUGCAACACUACUGAAAAAUCUGUUUGGGAUUUAUGUCACUGCAAAUGAAAUAUGCCAUUUGCAAGCUGCGUUUUAUAAUUUAUUAAGCAAGUUGAAAAUGUUCUUUAAAACAAGAUUUGUCAGCUUGUCAUCUAGUGGAGCAGAAGAAAUGGUUUGCAUAUGGAUCACAGAAACUGGAUUUUCAUGGUGCUCCAUCCAUUUCAAAGGGCUUUAUUUUCUUUGAUGGCUGACAUAAAAUGGCACUUCAGAAGCAUUGCAUGUGCUCCAGAUGACCAUUUCUGUUUUUAAUUCAUUUGACUAUCCACCCUGCAUUUUCCUCAAGUUAGCUGAACACCAUAUAUUCCAACACCUCAGUCGGAAAGAAGAGUUAUAUACACACAAGUUAAAUGUUCAGGGCUGAUGUGAUGCCCAUUUGAAAAGCUUUCAAUGCAGCAUUUGUAACAUAACCUGCUUUGGACCAUCACUCCAUACAGAACAAACCCCACUGGUGGAACCUGGUGGCUGGUGUGUGUGUGCCAGUCCCAGAUCCAAAUCCCAGUGAAGUGACGACAAGAUUCCCCUGAGGUUCACUGGGAUUUGAAAGAGGACCUGAAGGAACAUGUCUAGCAAUCUCUGCUUUAUAAGGCUUUCUUACAUGAACCAAAACAUUGUAAAAGUGACUAGAGCAGGGACUAUCAUAAAGGCUGUACCAGUAUUUUGGGAUAAAACACUAGGAAAACCUCCAGUGCACGACAGCUUGAAUAUACUACAUUCAGUUUGUAAUGUAAAUAAGGCCCAGACAAGGAAUGUGUACAUAAAAAUCUGUUUCACAGCUUGCAGUACUGCAGGAUCUGCUUGCACACUGACUGGCUGGAAAUGUUAUCAAGCCAGCAUCUUCUUGAGUGUUGAUUUCAUGCACUAAGAGAAAAAGAGAAUUCAGUUAUAGCACCCUGUUAUUUUCAUUUAGGCUAGAGUGUUCAUUUUGAACAGAAGACAGCAGUGGCCCCAACUGCCUCCAAGAGGUGAGAGCAACAUCAACAAGCUCAGUAAAACUCUUUGCAGGCUGGGAGGCUGAAGAAUUGCCACAGCUGAUGUGAUAGCCUUUCUCUCGGAAUGCUAUGGAAAAGAAAAUUACAUAGUGACAUUCCUUUGCAGGUGGCAAAUGUUUAAUCAUACUCACGUGUUAGGGUGAUUGAGAGAAAAAAAAAACAACAAACCCUAAAUGAGUAUUUUUCUAUGAACACUGAGUGGCAAAUAUGGUUCACUGCAUUUUCCAGAAUGCUGAAAGGCGUUUUUAGAUUUCCUCUGAAAAUAAUAAUGAGAAAUCACAGUGAAUGUGCUUCUUAGUUUCUUGAUUAUUAUAAUUUCUCUUGUUCUUUUAAAGACAAGAAGUCCUGUGCCUUCAUCAAAUGGCUACUUCUGCUUGUGAUAUGCAUGCUCAGCUCUUGGGUGCUUCACAUGCUCAUAGGGGUGAGGAGCUUAGAACAGCAGAAGCUUGAAUCCAGUGGAAGUUGUGUCCACUAAGAUUCUGCAGAGGAAAGCUCUGAUGACAGCAGUGAGAGUUGGAGCAUGGAAUGGUGACAGAAAUGGGAUAAUGCCAGCAUGGAGACUGUGGAAACCCAAGAUUUUGCAGUGGUUCCUGGGCUGGUCUGUCAUCUCUCCAUUUGCUCUCUGGGUGAGAAAGGAGAAAGCUCAGGGGUGCAGGAGCCGAAUGCAGUGGAACCCAGGAAGGCACAGCCCUCCCCUCAUGUGCCUGCCUAGUUGUACCCUGCAUGUGGGGUAGACUUAAUCUCAAGCACUGAAGCAUGAGAACUUUAAUCUGAAAUCCGGCAAUGCCACGUGGGGAAUCAUACAAAACCUCUGGCCUCGAUUUGUCUGCCUUUUCCUGCAGAAAAUGCUGAGUAAAAACAUGGAUGGCAGAAAAAAAUCCAAAGAAAUCUCACAGGGAAUUUGAAAUGGUUGUCAGAGUGCAAAGGUGACAGUUAUUACUGGUCAAGGGUUAUUCAUCCUUUUAAAGCAAAUGCCUUUGUCUACAGUAAAAUGAAGUAAAAAGAAUUGACCUAAAUUAUAAAUAGCAAUAUGACACAGGAUGCAUUCUGUGAAAGCUUUGUCCUUCAAAGAUACUCAAGAGGUGCUGCCCAGCACUGUACAUAAUGGAAACACAUCCUUCUUAAAAACUGCUCAGGUGGCAUUUCAGUCAGAGGAAAGACUGCAAAUUAUCAGUCUAAGAAAACAGUAAACAGUUACAGCUUUGCGAGAGGUUUAAGGACAGGAAAGCAGUAACUGCUGCUGCUGGGUUUGUACUUUUCUUUUUUCCCCUGUGGAUGGAAAGAAAACCAGAUUCCUCCAAUUCCUCCUUACAGGAACUUCACCUCUGUUGC